ACAUACGCAUCCUUUGCUGAAGGCAAUGGUUAACGGAGCGAAAGCGACGUUCAACCGCAAAACAAGCAGAGGGGGCUUAGUGGUGGGGUGACUGCGUACCUUUUGUAUAAUGGGUCAGCGACUUAUAUUCUGUAGCAAGGUUAACCGAAUAGGGGAGCCGCAGGGAAACCGAGUCUUAACCGGGCGUUAAGUUGCAGGGUAUAGACCCGAAACCCGGUGAUCUAGCCAUGGGCAGGUUGAAGGUUGGGUAACACUAACUGGAGGACCGAACCGACUAAUGUUGAAAAAUUAGCGGAUGACCUGUGGCUGGGGGUGAAAGGCCAAUCAAACCGGGAGAUAGCUGGUUCUCCCCGAAAGCUAUUUAGGUAGCGCCUCGUGAAUUCAUCUCCGGGGGUAGAGCACUGUUUCGGCUAGGGGGCCAUCCCGGCUUACCAACCCGAUGCAAACUGCGAAUACCGGAGAAUGUUAUCACGGGAGACACACGGCGGGUGCUAACGUCCGUCGUGAAGAGGGAAACAACCCAGACCGCCAGCUAAGGUCCCAAAGUCAUGGUUAAGUGGGAAACGAUGUGGGAAGGCCCAGACAGCCAGGAUGUUGGCUUAGAAGCAGCCAUCAUUUAAAGAAAGCGUAAUAGCUCACUGGUCGAGUCGGCCUGCGCGGAAGAUGUAACGGGGCUAAACCAUG
This 684-nucleotide ribosomal RNA is filed under the name Salmonella enterica subsp. enterica serovar Virchow. RNAcentral describes it as "partial 23S ribosomal RNA". It matches the Rfam family "Bacterial large subunit ribosomal RNA", at positions 566 to 1191 of the family's 2925-position model. Lineage: Bacteria; Pseudomonadati; Pseudomonadota; Gammaproteobacteria; Enterobacterales; Enterobacteriaceae. The record is from RNAcentral.